GAUGAACGCUGGCGGCGUGCCUAAUACAUGCAAGUCGAGCGAACAGACGAGGAGCUUGCUCCUCUGACGUUAGCGGCGGACGGGUGAGUAACACGUGGAUAACCUACCUAUAAGACUGGGAUAACUUCGGGAAACCGGAGCUAAUACCGGAUAAUAUAUUGAACCGCAUGGUUCAAUAGUGAAAGACGGUUUUGCUGUCACUUAUAGAUGGAUCCGCGCCGCAUUAGCUAGUUGGUAAGGUAACGGCUUACCAAGGCGACGAUGCGUAGCCGACCUGAGAGGGUGAUCGGCCACACUGGAACUGAGACACGGUCCAGACUCCUACGGGAGGCAGCAGUAGGGAAUCUUCCGCAAUGGCGAAAGCCUGACGGAGCAACGCCGCGUGAGUGAUGAAGGUCUUCGGAUCGUAAAACUCUGUUAUUAGGGAAGAACAAAUGUGUAAGUAACUAUGCACGUCUUGACGGUACCUAAUCAGAAAGCCACGGCUAACUAC
RNAcentral lists this ribosomal RNA (493 nucleotides) under uncultured bacterium. RNAcentral's name for it is "partial 16S ribosomal RNA". It matches the Rfam family "Bacterial small subunit ribosomal RNA", at positions 28 to 504 of the family's 1533-position model. The record is from RNAcentral.